UUUUUUUUUUGUAGAUUUUAAACAUUUGAAUAGUUAAAUAAAUUUGAAUUCUUUCAAAGUAGCAUAGAAUGAAAUAAAAUUUGUUAGUGUUAAGAAAUAUAGCUCAAAAUAAUAAUAUAGUAUAAGGAAAAACAAGCUAAGAGAUAUAGAGAGAAAAGAUAUAUAGAGAUUCUUAUUUUUUUUUCAACUGUGUGUCAUUUUCUAUCUAUUACAAGACCUUUAUAUAAGCAUGAAAAAUAAAGAAAUAUAUCAUUGAAUAUGUCAUUAAGCAUUUGAGAUCAUAGAGGAAGAUCAUGAGGAGGUUAUGGAGUUACAAUCAUAACUCCGUAAGUAUUAUAGUAGUGAAAGUUAUGGAGAUAAUGAAGAAGUAUAGUGAGCAUUACUCCUUUGAUGGUUAAAGACAUCCACCAUAAUUUAAGAUUUUAUAAUAGUUAGCACUUUUUGGAAGUUCAGUAUAUUUUGGAAAAUAAGUCGCCUAUACAACCGACGAUCUCUCUGUCUUUUUCUUAGCUAAUUUACAUGGAUGUACAAUAUAUGUGUAAUCCAUGUAAUAUAGACUUCUAUAAGCUCAAUUAUAACGCAUUAUAACCAAAAUUCUUGAAUUUCUUUGAAAGGACUAUCCGAGUUAUAUAUGGGGGAAAGUUUGGGCCUAAUUAGAAUUUUUAGUAAGUUAGUGGGCACUCUUAGUAAGUUAUUUUCUUAAAACUGUGGUCGCCUAUAGAACCGACGAUUUAAAACAAUAUAAAUAAAGGACAUCGUCUAUCAAGUGUGACCUAUUUGCAUUUUCUACCCUCAGCUUUUUCAUAAAACCCAAAACCCAACCCAACAGCCCAACUUCUUAAAACCCUCGCUUCUCUUUCGGACAUUUAGCAGAAAACUAUGUUUUAAAAGGCGAAAGAGCGUGAGUUGAGACAUUUUACUUAAUGUGGGGUAAGACGUAAGCCCUGAAACGAUCUUUAAAUUUUUUUAUUUAUAAAUUAAUAAAAUAGUAAAAUAAUCACAAAAAAUAUAUAUAAUACAUUAAAAUUUAAGAAAAUUAUAAGGGAUUAUAAAACUCAUAAAAAUAAAAUAUCUAGCAUUUUUUAUUAACAUAAAUAAUGAAAUAGUGUUAAAGUUACUAUGAGAUAAAAAUCAACUAAAACGUCUUAUCUUUCGAACAAUUUAAAAAACAUACGUAAUAUGUUUAAAAAUAUUAUCAAACUACAAAGUUUACCUCUCUAAAAGUUAAUAAUCAUUAACUUCAUCAAAAUUGUAAUUUAAAGUAUUACUCCUUAUAAAUAAAUAUAAAAUUUCUUUCAAUUAGCGAAAUAAUUAAAGUAUGAUAAUUUUGAGAGAGAUAGACUAAGAUAUGAAGACCUAUAGCAAGUGAUCAUGUAAAUUUUGACUCUUCAAGUGAUACUCACCCCAACGGUAUUCUUAAUCAGUAAAUAUGUAAUACUAUGACUCAUUAUUUAGAGUUACUCUUGAUCUUCAAUUUUUAUAGAUAAAUAAAACUUUAAUAAUUCAUUUGUUAAAGAAUUUUGAGGGUCAACAAUGCUAAUUAGGUAAUUAGACACAUAAUUUGCGUUAGGAAUUGUUAGGCGAGCCCUGAGCAUUGAGCGUUAGGCAUAUUUCGAGUGCACAGUCGAGCGCUUGGGGCGUAAGCCUCACAAAACCAAACCCCACACGUGAGCCUUAGGGCGUUUUGAUAAUGUCGCUCCCCGGAGAGAGCCCCGAAGCGAGUGCCAAGAAAGUCUUUUAAAAUACUGGCAAAAAAUACAUACACACACUCCAAUUUAACUCUUGAUUGCAAUAAAAGAUUUCUCUUCCUAGUUGCCCCUUAAUUUUACCAUGUGGAAAUAGUCUUGUGCAAAAUAUAAGGUACAAUUGCAUACAUAAAAUUUAAUAUGGUCCGAUCCUUUUUCAGACCUCAUGUAUAACGAGAGCUGCCUAUUGUUUGCUUGAGCUGCUCGAACUUGAUGGGCUAAUAACUUGUAGAGAUAGUUCAUGACAUAUUCAUAUCUAUAAAUGCAUGUUAUUAAGAUGAACAAAAUGAAAAGAUUAAAGUUAAAAAAAACUUCAAGAACGUUAUCAUUCUUUUAGAACGUACAAAAAAAAGUAUAGAAAAUUAAUGGAGUUUAUUAUUAAUAUUAAUGAGGGAGGAUGCAGAGGCGGCCACACAUGAUGAGUAGUGGGGUCACCGGCACCCAAAAACUUCAGCAAAAACUCCAUAUAUACUAGCAAAUAUUUUUAAAAAAUAGUUAGAUAUUAGUAUACGUCCCGUACUAAUCUUUAUGAGCAUUGAUAAACUUAUAUUGAAUGUCAUGAUGCCCGCACUACCGCUGAAUCCUAGGUCCGCUUCUGGGAGGAUGUAUAGUCGUUGAUUUCUUAGAUAUUAAAAAUUGAGUAAAAUUGUAGUGAAGUGAGUAAAGAAUUAAUUUCACUUUUGUGCAAUUUUAUGUAAUUCUAUCUAUUUUAAGUUGCUUCAAAAAAAGGAAAAAAUAAAAAAAUAAAAAGGUUGCUUAAUGAAAUAAAAAUAAAAAAUGAAGAAAAGUGAAAAAGGCCCGUUUAUAACCAUGAUUUACUAUUUUACCCUUUUCAAUCAAGUAUAUGUUCUCGGUUCGAGUCUGGCGCAAAGACUGAAUUCUAGCGUACUUUGGAAAGGGACAAAAUUGUCCAACUCUAUUUAAUACAAUAUACUCCAUAUAAAUAAAAUACUGAUCGAUUAGUGUUGUGAAUACUGAAUGAGACCCCUCCCUCAAAACUUUGGGUUUACUGUAAAAAUUUCAAAUCGGAAAAUUUCGCCGGAAAAAUGUCGGGGAAAGGAGCAAAGGGAUUGAUAACAGGGAAAACAUCGGCAAAUAAAGACAAAGAUAAGAAGAAACCCACCUCUCGUUCUUCUCGUGCCGGUCUUCAGGUUCCCGCCCUCUUUUCCUCUUUUACUUUCUAUUUUUGUCCAAUAAAUUAUCUGGGAUUUUGUUUAAUUCUUAUGCAACCUAUGUUUUGCUUAGAUUUUUGGGUUAUUGUUGUAAAUUAGGGAUUUUUAUGAGACAUGUCUUAGAAUUGUGUUUUGAUAAUCGUGGUAUCCGGCCAGCUAGACUAAUUCCACGGGUUACGUGCUACCUCCUACCAGCAGAGGAUUUAUAGUCCCACGAGCCUGGUACCCUGGCUCGUGGCGUGAGCGAAACCGCGAGGCUCCCAUGCUUGCCCUUUCGCCACACUAGGGCCUUAGUGAGGGAGGGCGUUGUGUGCCGGGCCUUUCUUGCGCAAGGGCUGCUAUUUGCUAUCGAUCGAUAGCUAUCAUCUCCAAGAUAUCACUCACCAUUAGGGGUUGGACGUUCAGUACUUCGGUUCGGUAUUUAAGAACUUUGAUUCGGUACUUUGGUAUUCGGUUUUUCAAUUGUAUAUACCAAAUACCGUACCAAAGGUAGUUCGGUAUUUCUUGUUCUGUUUGGUCAUGUGUAUGUAAUAACUUAAAUAUAGCUGCCAAAUAAAUUGAGAACUAAUGUACUUUUGGAAAAGAAUAGUACCAUCUUUUAAGUAGGCAAGUGACAACAAAUUUCUAUCCACAUUUUGCUUACCAUACAAUGCGUGAAAUGUAACUAGAAUCUUGCCAUAAUUUUUGACAAGAUAAUCAUAACUUUAAGGAACAAAUAUAGCUAACUGAACUGUAGCCAAAUUUGAAAAAUAUUGAAAUAGCAUAUCAAAUAUUCAAAUGGGCAGUAGCAAAGUAGCAUCAUAUCAACACUCUACAGCAGUAGCUGUAAUGGUAUACUAACUCAGACAUUUUGAGCCCAUUUUUCCUCCAUUUUCGGGCGAUUUCAGAGCUUUUGAGAAGGGAGUUCAACUAACAACUUGAAGGUAAGUUAAUUCUACACCCCUUGAGUUAAAUACAUAGAUUAUAAGUAGAUUAUAACUAGUAAAUCUUAGAAAUCAAAAGUUUAGGUGAAAAACCUUGAUUUUUAUAAAAAUGAGAUUUUAACCACGAAAAUAGUUAUGGAAUUAGGUAGAAAUUAUAUAUUUGAGUUCUUCAGAUUAUGGGUAACGUUCCAUCCGGAAAUUUCCAGAAUCCGGGCACGUGGGCCCGGGGUGAAUUUUAGGAAUUUUAUCAUUUUGGAUAGGGUAAUUUAUUUAAUAGAUGAAUUUCGAAUUAUUGAACAUAUAUUAAUCAUUUUAUAUAACUUUUGGAUAGUUUCGGAUUUUUCGGCAUUGAAUCGAGAAUUUUACGCGACGCGAUAAUCGGAAAGUGGGCUUUGAGACGAGGUAAGUCUCUUGUCUAAUCUUGUGAGGGGGAAUUACCCCAUAGGGAUUAAAUUGAAUAAUUAUUGAUAGCUGAAUAAUUUUGUUAUUCUGGUUUCUCUACGCAAUGCACGACUUGUGUCAAUACUAAGGUCUGUCAGGUAGUGGUUUUAUUCCAGGAAUUCUGUUACUCUUCUUUGACUCUUGACUUGGAUCGUGCAAACUUGCAAACUGCCAUGUGUAGUAAUGUCUUUAAAUUUUUUUCAUCAGCAUCUAAUAUUAUUAGCAGGAUUAUGUGACCUUAAAUUCUGCAAAUACCUUUAUCCUUGGCAGUGCUGGGAUCAAAUGACUAUCUUUCGUUAUGGUUUCUAAACUGUUUGGCUUGUGCCUUUUCAGUUUCCAGUUGGGCGUAUUCACCGAUUGCUGAAAGAGAGGACCACGGCAAAUGGGAGAGUGGGAGCCACAGCAGCUGUCUACUCUGCUGCUAUCAUGGAGUAUCUGACCGCUGAGGUAUUGGAGUUGGCUGGAAAUGCGAGCAAGGAUUUGAAAGUGAAACGUAUCACUCCAAGACAUUUGCAGCUGGCAAUUCGAGGUGAUGAGGAACUUGAUACUCUGAUCAAAGGAACUAUAGCUGGAGGAGGUGUAAUACCGCACAUUCACAAGUCGCUCAUCAACAAAUCUUCGAAGGAGUAAUUAAGCCUGUCUCUUACAAGUUGUCUCCUUCCUUUUUGGAGAAAUAUUCGUUUCUGGAAACUUUAGCCAUUUGCUUUUGGUGUCUGCAAAUGCAUAGGCAGAGAAUUUCUGUACCAACUACUUUUGCAUAUUCUAUCUAGAUUCUCCUUAGGUUUACCAGACAUGGUUCUUUGCUGAUAUUAGUAAUGUCGCAAGUGAUUGUCUUAUUUCCUCUAUUAUCUCUCAAGCCCUUUACUUAACACAUCCAUCAAUGAAUGUGAAUUGUGAAUGCUGUCAUGGUGAUUGGUGGGGAUUAGAUAGAUCCUCUGUAGUGUCUGAACUCAGUGUUACUAAAAGCCAUCGCUUCAUCGCUUAAAACAUGACGUGAUGCGAAGCAAGAGGCUAUUGCUUCAUGGGUGAAGCCAUGCACUUAAGAGAAACGUGCGCUUGCGCAUAGUGAUCCAACGAGAAGUUGUCGGGUUUGUUUGCAUCUCAACUUUGAGUUGGACUAGUAUCUGCAUCAUUAUACAUUGGAUGCUGAAAUUUAAGUUUCUAAAUGCAAUUUGAUUAGUAUGUUUAAAAUUUUUGUACAUCGUGUAUUUCACUUCAUAGAAGCGUGCACUUCUCAAGCCUCGUGGACCUUGUCUCUUAUUAUGCAUUUUUUGCUUUUAAAAGGCACAACUUGGUGUUUGUUUUUCCAGUUUAUACGAGAUAGAAUUGUAGAGCAGGAGAGCUGGCAACUUCAAAAUUUGAAAAGGUAACAAUAAACCUAGCUGUAGAAAAGAAGUUGAAGAGGACCAUCCCAUUUUCAAGUUGUAGUUUGAAAAGAAAUUGUUGUGUGGGAAAUUGCAGAACUGGUCAAUGGUGAAGAUCUAUGUCCUUUUUAGGCGAAUACGGAAGUCUAGAGACUUUUAAUUGAACUUUUAGGAUUUUUUGCCGUAGUGGAUAGAAUUAUCAGAUAUAUGUGCUGAUCCGAGAAAGCAAGUACCGGUGGAACAGUUGAAGUGCGUGUAAGUUGGCCUAGCUUGCAUCAACUUGUACUGUUCAUACUGUGGUAGAGUUGUCAAAGAUUUUGCAGCAAUAUUAGAAAGUGAAUCAACAUUAUCCUUAAAUGAAUCUAUCAAGAUUACAAGUUUUAAUAAAAAUUCACAAUCUGAAUAAGCUUCCAAUAAUAGUUGAUUGAAUUCUAGUACAAUUAUUAACAUCCAAAAGACAACAAAAUUCCUGUAUAGACAACUAACAAAAUGCCCUUGCUUGUAGUUUACUUCUAGAUUCACCACUACUGAUAAAGACCCUUGGAGUAAGAUGCAAAAAAAUUUACAAUGCCAUUCCUAUGGCAAAGCUAACAAACUUUCCCCAGAAAAUCAAAAGAAACAACUGCCAACAGAGGCUAAUUCAGCAUAUACGCGCGCAGUGUGUGCACGUGCACCCACUGAGUCGAACUUAGACUAUAUAUAUAUAUAUGUGUGUGUGUAUAGAAAAUUUUAGAGAAAUAUUUAAAAAAUAUCUAGGUGUAUCAACUACCUUUAAAUUCUGGAUCUGCCUCUGCUUGCUGAUCGACAUUUGGUAUUCAAAAGUUUGCUACCUUUGGAACAUCCACAGGAAACUUUUCUAUCUCAUCAAUCCAAGGGUUGAUCACUUCCUUUGCUGGUUUUAUAGUUCUCAAUGCCUUCCAAACAGCACUGUUACACUUAAAUCCUGAACCAAAACCUAUCUGCCACACUCUUUCACCUCUCCUUACUCUUCCCUUAGCUUCUGUAUAAGCCAACUCGUACCAAAGAGAGCUGCUCGACGUGUUGCCAAAACGAUACAAUGUCAUUCUUGAUGGUUCUAAGUGCCAUUCACUAAGAUGCAAAUUCUUCUCUAUUUCAUCUAACACAGCUCUUCCACCAGCAUGAAUGCAGAAAUGCUCGAACGCUAGUUUGAAAUCAGGAAUAUAAGGCUUGAGUUUAAUUUUAAAAAGCUUCCUUCCAACUAGUGUAGCAAAGAAAAGCAAUUGUUCUGAUAUUGGUAAUACAAGGGGUCCAAGGGUAGUAAUAUUAGUUUUCAAUGCAUCUCCAGCCACUGCCAUUAGCUCUUUCGAU
RNAcentral lists this long non-coding RNA (6974 nucleotides) under Nicotiana tabacum (common tobacco). RNAcentral describes it as "long non-coding RNA (NTAB_LNC013255)". The record is from RNAcentral. Lineage: Eukaryota; Viridiplantae; Streptophyta; Magnoliopsida; Solanales; Solanaceae.